GCGCGAAAACUUUACAAUGCUGGCAACAGCGAUAAGGGAACCUCGAGUGCCAGGUUACAAAUCUGGCUGUCGAGAUGCCUAAAAAGCAUUUCAUAGCAAGGGCCGGGCAAGACCGGUGCCAGCCGCCGCGGUAACACCGGCGGCUCGAGUGGUAACCGUUAUUAUUGGGUCUAAAGGGUCUGUAGCCGGCCGGAGAAGUCUCUUGAGAAAUCUGGCAGCUUAACUGUCAGGCCUUCAGGAGAUACUGUCUGGCUCGAGGCCGGGAGAGGUGAGAGGUACUUCAGGGG
RNAcentral lists this ribosomal RNA (287 nucleotides) under uncultured bacterium. RNAcentral's name for it is "partial 16S ribosomal RNA". It matches the Rfam family "Archaeal small subunit ribosomal RNA", at positions 339 to 626 of the family's 1478-position model. The record is from RNAcentral.